RNAcentral lists this ribosomal RNA (709 nucleotides) under uncultured bacterium. RNAcentral describes it as "bacterial SSU rRNA". It matches the Rfam family "Bacterial small subunit ribosomal RNA", at positions 58 to 758 of the family's 1533-position model. The record is from RNAcentral.
CAAGUCGAACGGCAGCACGGGAGCAAUCCUGGUGGCGAGUGGCGAACGGGUGAGUAAUAUAUCGGAACGUGCCCAGUCGUGGGGGAUAACGCAGUGAAAGCUGUGCUAAUACCGCAUACGAUCUCUGGAUGAAAGCGGGGGACUCGGCAACGAGCCUCGCGCGAUUGGAGCGGCCGAUAUCAGAUUAGCUAGUUGGUGGGGUAAAAGCCCACCAAGGCGACGAUCUGUAGCUGGUCUGAGAGGACGACCAGCCACACUGGGACUGAGACACGGUCCAGACUCCUACGGGAGGCAGCAGUGGGGAAUUUUGGACAAUGGGCGCAAGCCUGAUCCAGCAAUGCCGCGUGCAGGAUGAAGGCCUUCGGGUUGUAAACUGCUUUUGUACGGAACGAAAAAGUCUGCCCUAAUACGGUGGGCCCAUGACGGUACCGUAAGAAUAAGCACCGGCUAACUACGUGCCAGCAGUCGCGGUAAUACGUAGGGUGCGAGCGUUAAUCGGAAUUACUGGGCGUAAAGCGUGCGCAGGCGGUUAUAUAAGACAGAUGUGAAAUCCCCGGGCUCAACCUGGGACCUGCAUUUGUGACUGUAUAGCUAGAGUACGGUAGAGGGGGAUGGAAUUCCGCGUGUAGCAGUGAAAUGCGUAGAUAUGCGGAGGAACACCGAUGGCGAAGGCAAUCCCCUGGACCUGUACUGACGCUCAUGCACGAAA